CUCAUGAUAUCGUAAUUUUGAAACAAAAAUAUUUUGGAUAUCUACAUAAAAGAAAUUGUAAAUUCGCCUAUUGGAACUGUCUGGCAUUGUCUAGUUCAGUUCAAGCUAAAUUUAAGCUUAAAUUUUAAGUUGACUCUUUUAUUUAGAACAAACUUGCACUUGUCGCCAGAAACUGAGCAAUUGGUAGGUGGAGAUUGGUGGCACAGAUGCAUUUCUGAUAAAACUCUCCUUAAGGUGCAUAGAGUAUAAG
Pelobates cultripes (western spadefoot toad) is the source of this 250-nucleotide non-coding RNA. The record is from the annotation of a GenBank genome assembly. Lineage: Eukaryota; Metazoa; Chordata; Amphibia; Anura; Pelobatidae.